CCAAUAGCGUAUAUUAAAGUUGUUGCAGUUAAAAAGCUCGUAGUUGAACUUCGGGGUUUACUCAUUGGUCAGGCUUAAUUGUCUGUACUGGUGAGAUGAAUCUCUACCUUCUGAGGAACUUUCAUGCCAUUUAUUUGGUGUGAUGGGAAAUCAGUACUGUUACUUUGAAAAAAUUAGAGUGUUUAAAGCAGGCUAACGUCUGAAUACAUUAGCAUGGAAUAAUGAAAUAGGACGGACUGAUUCUAUUUCGUUGGUUUCUAGGAUCACCGUAAUGAUUAAUAGGGAUAGUUGGGGGCAUUAGUAUUCAAUUGUCAGAGGUGAAAUUCUUGGAUUUAUUGAAGACUAACUACUGCGAAAGCAUUUGCCAAGGAUGUUGUCAUUAAUCAAGAACGAAAGUUAGGGGAUCGAAGACGAUCAGAUACCGUCGUAGUCUUAACCAUAAACUAUGCCGACUAGGGAUCGGACGAAGUUAAUUUUAUAAUGACGCGUUCGGCACCUUACG
RNAcentral lists this ribosomal RNA (502 nucleotides) under uncultured Glomeromycotina. RNAcentral describes it as "partial small subunit ribosomal RNA". It matches the Rfam family "Eukaryotic small subunit ribosomal RNA", at positions 591 to 1092 of the family's 1831-position model. The record is from RNAcentral. Lineage: Eukaryota; Fungi; Glomeromycota.